Bombyx mori (domestic silkworm) is the source of this 1536-nucleotide long non-coding RNA. RefSeq lists it as uncharacterized. NCBI's taxonomy places the organism in Eukaryota, Metazoa, Arthropoda, Insecta, Lepidoptera, Bombycidae. The record is from RefSeq and is a predicted model, not a curated record. The transcript has 2 exons.
UCCUUUAGAAUCGAUUUACAUAUAUAGGCCCGGGGUAUGAAAAUUAUGGGGACCAAAAUCGUACUAGCAUGUCACACGAAAUGCGUUAUGCGCCUGAUUGGCUCCUGAUUGCGUGAUGCGUGCGCGCGCCAAUCAGGAGCCAACGCGCGGCCGCGUUAUCGCAGGUGACGCCGGGCUGCUGCGCCGGCAGUCCGCCACAAAGCCUCGUACUGAUCGCGCGUUUCUCUCAUUAUUGUAUUUUCAUAUAUUUGUUAGUCGUUUGUUUUGUGUCUCGUUAAUUUGUUAAUAAUCUGUAGUGUAUCGUGUUGUCGUAAUAUAGAACUAUUUCUCGUAUUGUUUCGUUUAAUUUUUUAUAUCCAGUAAACUCCAGUCGUGCGUCGGAGCGGACACACACACUUUUUUUUAUUUAUCGUCCUUUAUUCCUUAAAUGUACGUGAAACACUUUUAGGUUCACCGAUGUAUAUAAAAUAUUUCAGUUUCGAAUACAAAGAUUUUAUUUAAAGUAUUUAUUUUUGUGACUUUAAAUAUUUUGUAUUAAAACACAUACCUAGCAUUUGAUAUUAAAAUCAGUACUUACUAAACUUGUCUUUCGCGUUAUAUUUUACACAAUACAUUGAAUUUUUGGUUGCAUAUUGAUAAAUUUCUAAUAAUUUAAUGUACUACAACAAAAUCAGUUAUAUUUUCAAACACUCACCGUAAUCUUCGUAAUUCAUACCUAUUACAAUAACUCUCUCCAAUUUACUAAUGAUUUGUUUAUCACUUUGAACAUGACAAUCUUUUAUGAAAUAACUUGAUGAUGUUUUGUUUAAAAAAAUUGUUGUUAAGCCACGAAUAUGAAUUAUGAUUACGUAGACGGAACAACAAUAUUAAAUUCGUGGUUACAAUAAAAUUUAAUCCCAGUGUUUAUUUCGCGCCAGUUUUUCUAAGCUUUUAACGUUGAGUUUGGCUAAAGAGAAUUUUUUAUACAGCCAUAUUUGGAUUUAAAAAAUUAUUCAUAAAUCAUUAUUAACAAUUUACAAGUUAAAAUAUGAAGAUGAAUGAAGUAUGAAUAGAAUUGAAAUAAAAUCUAAAUUUUAGAAAUCUAAUUUUUUUGUUAUGUUGUUAUGAGUUUAGCUUAGAUUUUAGCACUCUGUGUUUUUGUUGUUGUUUGUCAAAUAAACGUCGAGGCUUGUCAAAUUAUGUUUCCAAAACAUAAAUUGUAGUAUUAAAUCAAUGGCUUUAUACACCAUUUUAUUCGGCGUUAGUUUAUUUUUGAUUGCUCUAGUAAUGGCCAUUAUAAAAAUUGUUUUUCUCCGUUGGAAACAAGAGCAUAAAAUUGAAAGUAUGACCGUCAGUUAUCAUGAGAGACCUGCCGUAGGUAUGAUUAUAACCGCGGAAAAAUGUGUUAUACGGAAACGAAUAUAUAAUAACGAUAUAGAAGUUUACGACGUGAUGAGCAAAAGUGAUAUUCUUUUAGAAAACACGAAUGUUAUUGAACAGUGAUGUGUGUGGAAUGCCUUUGCUUUUGUAAUCAAAAUACAUAAAUGUCAAAAAUGA